UACAGAGGACCCGAGCGUUGUUCGGAUUCAUUGGGCGUAAAGGGUGCGUAGGCGGUUUUGUAAGUUUGAUGUGAAAUCCCGGGGCUCAACCCUGGAAUUGCAUUGAAUACUGAAGAACUAGAGAUCUGGAGAGGAAACUGGAAUUUACGGUGUAGCAGUGAAAUGCGUAGAGAUCGUAAGGAAGACCAGUGGCGAAGGCGAGUUUCUGGACAGAUACUGACGCUGAGGCACGAAGGCCAGGGGAGCAAACGGG
Molecule: ribosomal RNA, 253 nt
Filed under: uncultured bacterium
Lineage: Bacteria
Description: partial 16S ribosomal RNA
Rfam family: Bacterial small subunit ribosomal RNA
Source: RNAcentral